RNAcentral lists this ribosomal RNA (1257 nucleotides) under Triticum aestivum (bread wheat). RNAcentral's name for it is "partial small subunit ribosomal RNA". Lineage: Eukaryota; Viridiplantae; Streptophyta; Magnoliopsida; Poales; Poaceae. The record is from RNAcentral.
AUGAUGGACGCGCCGCCGACGCCCACCACGCCCCCGGCGUCGCCGCGGCCCCAGACGCAGCCGCAGGCCCAGGCCCCCGCGGCCGCGGCCGUGCCGUCCAGGCGCUACGGCGUGCAUUUCUCCGCCUCCAGCUUCAUCCAGGCGCCGCUCUCCGCGCUGCUCGAGUACUCGGGCGUCCUCCGCGCCGACCCCGGCCCGCACCUCCCGCCCGCCGGGGGCGGCGAGGUGUCGAUCCGGAUCGUGGGGUCGGCGCCGACCGACGGGGCCGACGACGUGCAGGAGGAGGGUGCGGAGGGAGACGCCGCGAGGGGGGCGCACCCCUCCGCGCCCGCGCCGGCGGCCGCGGCCGGCGCCGACACCUCCUCCUCCUACCAGAGGUACGACAUACAGCAGGUGGCCAGGUGGGUGGAGCAGAUACUGCCCUUCACCCUGCUGCUGCUCGUCGUCUUCAUCAGACAGCACCUGCAAGGUUUCUUUGUCACCAUCUGGAUUGCUGCCGUGAUGUUCAAGUCCAAUGACAUCCUGCGCAAGCAGACUGCUCUCAAGGGGGAGAGAAAAAUGUUAAUUCUUGUGGGAAUUACAAUAUUAUUUGUCGUUCAUGUAUCUGGAGUGUACUGGUGUUACAAGAAUGGUGAUCUUAUCAGACCUCUGGUCAUGCUUCCUCCAAAAGAGAUACCACCAUUUUGGCAUGCAAUAUUCGUAAUCCUGGUGAAUGAUACAAUGGUGCGCCAAACUGCUAUGAUCAUGAAGUGCUUACUGCUAAUGUACUACAGGAACACCAAGGGCCGUAGCUAUCGUAGGCAGGGGCAAAUGUUAACACUCGUGGAAUACUUUCUACUUCUGUACCGUGCCUUAUUGCCUGCCCCUGUAUGGUACCGUUUUUUCCUGAACAAGGAGUAUGGGAGCCUAUUUUCCUCUCUAACCACUGGACUGUAUCUUACUUUCAAGCUGACAUCUGUCGUGGAAAAGAUUCAAUCAUUUUUUACAUCUCUGAGAGCGUUGUCCCAUGAAGACUUCCAUUAUGGUUCAUAUGCAACGAGUGAGCAGGUUGCUGCCGCUGGAGAUAUGUGUGCUAUAUGCCAAGAGAAGAUGCAUGUCCCCAUUCUUUUGCGCUGUAAACAUGUCUUCUGCGAAGAUUGUGUCUCUGAAUGGUUUGAGAGGGAGCGCACCUGCCCACUGUGCAGGGCACUGGUGAAGCCAGCAGACCUCCGGUCAUUCGGCGACGGUUCGACAAGCCUCUUUUUCCAGCUUUUCUAG